CGAAAAGGACAACGGCGGCGACCCGCUGGCGUCAUUUCCGCUUCCGGCCGCGCGGGAUUUGAACCCCAGACGCGUCCGACCCCGUUAGAACCGAACACCGUGCUGAACUCUUUCCCGUGCCGGGGACCGGACUCGGGACUUUGCCCUUGCCAGACAGCCCAGUUCUUCAUCAUGUGGCUUGAGCCACUGGUGGUACACACGUGACUGUCCCUUCAUGAGACUUGUACCACCCGACAGGACUGCCCCAUGCUGCCUGAAGGGACAGCCACGCAGUAUGACAUACAAAUCACAGCCCCCAUCAUGAAGGUGUUUAAAGGAACUAAAUGGCUAUUUGUGGAUUGUCUCAUGAUCACAAAGUGACUGCAUUACCACAGAAAGCGCUGGAUCAAAUCCAGAGCUUCAUGCCUGCGAGGCAAGCGCCCUGACACUGAGCUGCACCCCAGCCCUACAUUCUGAUCUUGAGGCUCAAACAAUAAAGGAUUUCUUUCUAAUCUCCUUCAGACUGUUGGCAAAAUGUAUUUCUGUGUGUCUGUGGAAUCCUGGGCUACUUAUUUCAUCAACGGCAGUAACAGAAGCUGGGCAUGACGGGGCAUGCCUUAAAUCCAAGCUACUGCCUGAAGC
Long non-coding RNA from Fukomys damarensis (Damara mole-rat), 621 nucleotides. RefSeq lists it as uncharacterized. The record is from RefSeq and is a predicted model, not a curated record. The transcript has 3 exons. NCBI's taxonomy places the organism in Eukaryota, Metazoa, Chordata, Mammalia, Rodentia, Bathyergidae.